This 169-nucleotide unclassified non-coding RNA is filed under the name uncultured Mycena. Its description in RNAcentral is "sequence contains ITS2". Lineage: Eukaryota; Fungi; Basidiomycota; Agaricomycetes; Agaricales; Tricholomataceae. The record is from RNAcentral.
AAUUCUCAACCUUGCAAGCUUUUUUGCUAGUGAGGCUUGGAUGUGAGGGCUUUUGCUGGCUUCCUUCAUUGGAUGGUCUGCUCCCUUUAAAUUCAUUAGUGGAUUCCUUUGUGGAUGGUCACUUGGUGUGAUAAUUAUCUACGCCGCCUGACUCCAAUCUAUAUUGACA